GAUGCCCCCACAAUUUUUGGGCCGCACGCGCGCUACACUGACGGAGCCAGCGAGUACUCCCCUUGGCCGGAAGGCCCGGGUAAUCCUUGUUAAACUCCCGUCGUGCUGGGGAUAGAGCAUUGCAAUUUUUGACUCAACACGGGGAAACUCACCAGGUCUAGACACAAUGAGGAUUGACAGAUUGAGAGCUCUUUCUUGAUUUUGUGGGUGGUGGUGCAUGGCCGUUCUUAGUUGGUGGAGUGAUUUGUCUGCUUAAUUGCGAUAACGAACGAGACCUUAACCUGCUAAAUAGCCCGUAUUGCUUUGGCAGUACGCCGGCUUCUUAGAGGGACUAUCGGCUCAAGCCGAUGGAAGUUUGAGGCAAUAACAGGUCUGUGAUGCCCUUAGAUGUUCUGGGCCGCACGCGCGCUACACUGACGGAGCCAGCGAGUACUCCCUGGCCGGAAGGCCCGGGUAAUCUUGUAAACUCCUUCGAGGCGCCC
This 482-nucleotide ribosomal RNA is filed under the name Ustilaginoidea virens. RNAcentral describes it as "SSU rRNA". The stretch from base 109 to 482 matches the Rfam family "Eukaryotic small subunit ribosomal RNA", at positions 1173 to 1575 of the family's 1831-position model. The record is from RNAcentral. Lineage: Eukaryota; Fungi; Ascomycota; Sordariomycetes; Hypocreales; Clavicipitaceae.